GUAGAGAGAUGGAGGGUGGAGAUGGAGGGGUCGAGAGAUGGAGGGGUGGAGAUGGAGGCGUAGAUAAAUGGAGGGGUGGAGAUGGUAGGGGUAGAGAGAUGGAGGGGUACAGAGAUGGAGGCGUAGAGAGAUGGAGGGGUGGAGAUGGAGGGGUAGAGAGAUGGAGGGGUGGAGAUGGAGGGGUGGAGAGAUGGAGGGGUGGAGAUGGAGGGGUAGAGAGAUGGAGGGGUGGAGAUGGAGGGGUGGAGAGAUGGAGGGGUGGAGAUGGAGGGGUAGAGAGAUGGAGGGGUGGAGAUGGAGGGGUGGAGAUGGAGGGGUAGAGAGAUGGAGGUAGGGUGGAUAGAUGGAGGGGUAGAGAGAUGGAGGGGUGGAGAGAUGGAGGGGUAUAGAUAUGGAGCAGUAGAGAGAUAGAGGUAGGGUGGAGAGAGGUAGGGUGGAUAGAUGGAGGGGUAGAGAGAUGGAGGGGUAGAGAGAUGGAGGGGUCGAGAGAUGGAGGGGUAGAGAGAUGGAGGGGUAGAGAGAAAGAGGGUGGAGUGGGGGAGAGGUACAGAGAUGGAGGGGUGGAGAGUUGGAGGGGUGGAAAUGGAGGGGUAGAGAGAUGGAGGGUGGAGAUGGAGGUGGAGAUAAAUGGAGGGGUGGAGAUGGUAGGGGUAGAGAGAUGGAGGGGUACAGAGAUGGAGGGGUGGAGAUGGAGGGGUGGAGAGAUGGAGGGGUAGAGAGAUGGAGGGGUGGAGAUGGAGGGGUAGAGAGAUGGAGGUAGGGUGGAUAGAUGGAGGGGUA
This is a long non-coding RNA of Oncorhynchus tshawytscha (Chinook salmon), 780 nucleotides long. The record is from Ensembl. Lineage: Eukaryota; Metazoa; Chordata; Actinopteri; Salmoniformes; Salmonidae.